Molecule: transfer RNA, 73 nt
Filed under: Halorubrum sp. GN11_10-6_MGM
Lineage: Archaea; Methanobacteriati; Methanobacteriota; Halobacteria; Halobacteriales; Haloferacaceae
Description: tRNA-Asp
Rfam family: tRNA
About the family: Transfer RNA (tRNA) molecules are approximately 80 nucleotides in length. Their secondary structure includes four short double-helical elements and three loops (D, anti-codon, and T loops). Further hydrogen bonds mediate the characteristic L-shaped molecular structure. tRNAs have two regions of fundamental functional importance: the anti-codon, which is responsible for specific mRNA codon recognition, and the 3' end, to which the tRNAs corresponding amino acid is attached (by aminoacyl-tRNA synthetases). tRNAs cope with the degeneracy of the genetic code in two manners: having more than one tRNA (with a specific anti-codon) for a particular amino acid; and 'wobble' base-pairing, i.e. permitting non-standard base-pairing at the 3rd anti-codon position.
Source: RNAcentral
GCCGACGUAGUGUAAUCGGCGAUCAUACGGUCCUGUCACGGCCGUGAUCCGGGUUCAACUCCCGGCGUCGGCG